GGUCUGUGUGUGUGGCCGCCCGCCCCGGGAAUGAAGCGGGGCGCGGCGGGCAGAGCGUGUAUGAAGAAGGCCUUCGGGUUGUAAAGUACUUUCAGCGGGGAGGAAGGUGUUGUGGUUAAUAACCGCAGCAAUUGACGUUACCCGCAGAAGAAGCACCGGCUAACUCCGUGCCAGCAGCCGCGGUAAAUAAAAAA
RNAcentral lists this ribosomal RNA (194 nucleotides) under uncultured bacterium. RNAcentral describes it as "partial 16S ribosomal RNA". The stretch from base 57 to 194 matches the Rfam family "Bacterial small subunit ribosomal RNA", at positions 401 to 530 of the family's 1533-position model. The record is from RNAcentral.